RNAcentral lists this ribosomal RNA (362 nucleotides) under Fruticicola kurodana. RNAcentral's name for it is "partial 16S ribosomal RNA". The record is from RNAcentral. Lineage: Eukaryota; Metazoa; Mollusca; Gastropoda; Stylommatophora; Camaenidae.
AUAGCCGCAGUACCCUGACUGUGCAAAGGUAGCAUAAUCAGUUGGCUUAUAAUUGAAGUCUAGUAUGAACGAAAGGAUGGGAGUAAGCUAUCUAAGAAUUGUAUCAAUAAAUUACUUAAUAAGUGAAAAUUCUUAUAUAGAUAUAAUAGACGAGAAGACCCUAGAAAUUUUAAGUAAUAUUUAGCUAUUGGUUUUUGUUGGGGCGACACAGUAGCACUAUAAACCUACUAAGAAGGAUAUGAUUAUCUUAAUAUGUAUAAUUAAAUUACUCUAGGGAUAACAGCAUAAUAUUGUAAAGUUUGUGACCUCGAUGUUGGACUAGGAAAGUAUAACUCAGAAGGUUAUUAUGUAGGCUCUGUUCG